AUGAUCUUACUUGAACAAGAUUUGUUCUAUAGGAUAGCACCACUGCAUCCUUUGCCACGAAGGCGACAAGCACAUCAGUAUGUUUGAUGAGCCAGGACCUUUGGGCCAAAGGGUGAUUGACAGCCAGGAUGCUUCGGUUUUGCCUUUUGAUGGCAGUAGAGGAGCAUCCCUUCCAGGUUUAGGCCUGGUCAGGGUGGCCCAGAGCCUCAAACGUAGC
This is a small nucleolar RNA of Panicum virgatum (switchgrass), 217 nucleotides long. RefSeq annotates it as small nucleolar RNA U3. NCBI's taxonomy places the organism in Eukaryota, Viridiplantae, Streptophyta, Magnoliopsida, Poales, Poaceae. The transcript has a single exon. The record is from RefSeq and is a predicted model, not a curated record.